AAACUAUUAGUAUUUAUGUUUUGAAAACAUGAAGCGAGUACAACUCGUAGUUU
Molecule: transfer RNA, 53 nt
Filed under: Pristionchus pacificus
Lineage: Eukaryota; Metazoa; Nematoda; Chromadorea; Rhabditida; Neodiplogasteridae
Description: tRNA-Ser
Source: RNAcentral